This 510-nucleotide ribosomal RNA is filed under the name uncultured bacterium. Its description in RNAcentral is "partial 16S ribosomal RNA". It matches the Rfam family "Bacterial small subunit ribosomal RNA", at positions 28 to 507 of the family's 1533-position model. The record is from RNAcentral.
GACGAACGCUGGCGGCGUGCUUAACACAUGCAAGUCGAACGAAGAGCGAUGGAAGCUUGCUUCUAUCAAUCCUAGUGGCGAACGGGUGAGUAACGCGUAAUCAACCUGCCCUUCAGAGGGGGACAACAGUUGGAAACGACUGCUAAUACCGCAUACGAUCUAAUCUCGGCAUCGAGGAUAGAUGAAAGGUGGCCUCUACAUGUAAGCUAUCACUGAAGGAGGGGAUUGCGUCUGAUUAGCUAGUUGGAGGGGUAACGGCCCACCAAGGCGAUGAUCAGUAGCCGGUCUGAGAGGAUGAACGGCCACAGUGGGACUGAGACACGGCCCAGACUCCUACGGGAGGCAGCAGUGGGGAAUCUUCCGCAAUGGACGAAAGUCUGACGGAGCAACGCCGCGUGAGUGAUGACGGCCUUCGGGUUGUAAAGCUCUGUUAAUCGGGACGAAAGGCCUUCUUGCGAAUAGUGAGAAGGAUUGACGGUACCGGAAUAGAAAGCCACGGCUAACUACGUG